GGUUCAUCCAAAUUUCUGCCCUAUCAACUUUCGAUGGUAGGAUAGUGGCCUACCAUGGUUUCAACGGGUAACGGGGAAUUAGGGUUCUAUUCCGGAGAGGGAGCCUGAGAAACGGCUACCACAUCCAAGGAAGGCAGCAGGCGCGCAAAUUACCCAAUCCCGACCGGGGAGGUAGUGACAAUAAAUACUGAUACAGGGCUCUUUAGGGUCUUGUAAUUGGAAUGAGUACAAUUUAAAUCCCUUAACGAGGAACAAUUGGAGGGCAAGUCUGGUGCCAGCAGCCGCGGUAAUUCCAGCUCCAAUAGCGUAUAUUAAAGUUGUUGCAGUUAAAAAGCUCGUAGUUG
RNAcentral lists this ribosomal RNA (344 nucleotides) under uncultured fungus. Its description in RNAcentral is "SSU rRNA". It matches the Rfam family "Eukaryotic small subunit ribosomal RNA", at positions 292 to 636 of the family's 1831-position model. Lineage: Eukaryota; Fungi. The record is from RNAcentral.